This 502-nucleotide ribosomal RNA is filed under the name Klebsiella variicola. RNAcentral describes it as "bacterial SSU rRNA". It matches the Rfam family "Bacterial small subunit ribosomal RNA", at positions 62 to 555 of the family's 1533-position model. The record is from RNAcentral. Lineage: Bacteria; Pseudomonadati; Pseudomonadota; Gammaproteobacteria; Enterobacterales; Enterobacteriaceae.
UCGAGCGGUAGCACAGAGAGCUUGCUCUCGGGUGACGAGCGGCGGACGGGUGAGUAAUGUCUGGGAAACUGCCUGAUGGAGGGGGAUAACUACUGGAAACGGUAGCUAAUACCGCAUAACGUCGCAAGACCAAAGUGGGGGACCUUCGGGCCUCAUGCCAUCAGAUGUGCCCAGAUGGGAUUAGCUGGUAGGUGGGGUAACGGCUCACCUAGGCGACGAUCCCUAGCUGGUCUGAGAGGAUGACCAGCCACACUGGAACUGAGACACGGUCCAGACUCCUACGGGAGGCAGCAGUGGGGAAUAUUGCACAAUGGGCGCAAGCCUGAUGCAGCCAUGCCGCGUGUGUGAAGAAGGCCUUCGGGUUGUAAAGCACUUUCAGCGGGGAGGAAGGCGGUGAGGUUAAUAACCUCAUCGAUUGACGUUACCCGCAGAAGAAGCACCGGCUAACUCCGUGCCAGCAGCCGCGGUAAUACGGAGGGUGCAAGCGUUAAUCGGAAUUACU